Molecule: long non-coding RNA, 759 nt
Organism: Cydia fagiglandana
Lineage: Eukaryota; Metazoa; Arthropoda; Insecta; Lepidoptera; Tortricidae
Exons: 2
Source: RefSeq, a predicted model, not a curated record
AUGCCUUUAAGAUUUGAGGAGUUCCCUUGAUUCCUCAUGGAUCCCAUCAUCAGAACUCGAGCUUGACAAAAAUCUAUGCGUCGUUGAAGAGUUCCAUUCUGAUCAUCAUCAGCAGUUUCACUUCAUCAAAUGUCACAAUUCUGAAUGUAAAUGCUUGGUUUGUUUAAAAUACACCAGUAUCACUAUAUGUUAGGGUGGUUCACAAAACAUUUUUUUUCCUAAGGGGCACCCCCUUAUUUUGUUACACUUAUUAUGUUGAUAAAAUACACCAAGUUUCUUAAUUUAUCUCAACUAUACUUCGUUUUUUUUAGCAUUAGAAAUUAGGUAAACAAUCUUGAUGUGCGUUUUAAUUGAAAAACACAUUUUAAAAAUAAGUUACGGCAAAUACACUCGCGUGCAAAAGUAUUGCAUCACUUUGCAUUUUUUCGUCCGCACCCAAUAUCUUUGUAAUUCUAGAGCCGAUUCUGAAAAUUUUGGUAUCAACUGAAAGCUUAUAAUCUAACGCAUUAGAAAAUUGGGAAAUUUAAUGAAAUUUCAAAUCUGAAGACUACAAAAAAUCAGAAACUGAAAGUAGCGACAUAAUGGUCGAGAAAUAAAUUUAGGAAAGUUAAGAAUAAAAGUCAUUUAUUUAAUACAAAAUAAAUUAUUAUUAUUAAAUUAAUACCUGGUGUUGCCACCCCUAGCCCUCCUCACACAAAUCAAGCGGUUUUUCAUAGACCUAAUUAAUUUUCUAAUGAAAUCUUGUGGAAUAGCGUCCCA